Molecule: non-coding RNA, 108 nt
Organism: Acanthosepion pharaonis
Lineage: Eukaryota; Metazoa; Mollusca; Cephalopoda; Sepiida; Sepiidae
Source: the annotation of a GenBank genome assembly
CGGGCACAUCUCGUUGAAACACCUGUUCCCGUACAAUUAUUGAAGUUAAGCAACGUGGAGCCUGCGCAGUACCUAGAUGGGUGACCACUUGGGAAUAACAAGUGCCAU